UGGACAAAGUCCUCUCUUUACUCUGGUGAGC
Molecule: non-coding RNA, 31 nt
Filed under: Rattus norvegicus (Norway rat)
Lineage: Eukaryota; Metazoa; Chordata; Mammalia; Rodentia; Muridae
Source: RNAcentral